This 74-nucleotide transfer RNA is filed under the name Propionibacteriaceae bacterium. RNAcentral describes it as "tRNA-Met". It matches the Rfam family "tRNA". Rfam says of the family: Transfer RNA (tRNA) molecules are approximately 80 nucleotides in length. Their secondary structure includes four short double-helical elements and three loops (D, anti-codon, and T loops). Further hydrogen bonds mediate the characteristic L-shaped molecular structure. tRNAs have two regions of fundamental functional importance: the anti-codon, which is responsible for specific mRNA codon recognition, and the 3' end, to which the tRNAs corresponding amino acid is attached (by aminoacyl-tRNA synthetases). tRNAs cope with the degeneracy of the genetic code in two manners: having more than one tRNA (with a specific anti-codon) for a particular amino acid; and 'wobble' base-pairing, i.e. permitting non-standard base-pairing at the 3rd anti-codon position. The record is from RNAcentral. Lineage: Bacteria; Bacillati; Actinomycetota; Actinomycetes; Propionibacteriales; Propionibacteriaceae.
AGCGGGAUAGCUCAGGUGGUCAGAGCGAACGACUCAUAAUCGUUAGGUCGCGGGUUCAAGUCCCGCUCUCGCUA